GUGAGGAAUAUUGGUCAAUGGGCGAAAGCCUGAACCAGCCAUGUCGCGUGAAGGAUGAAGGUCCUAUGGAUUGUAAACUUCUUUUGCAGGAGGGUAAAGUGAGCUACGUGUAGUUCAUUGCAAGUACCCUGCGAAUAAGCAUCGGCUAACUCCGUGCCAGCAGCCGCGGUAAUACGGAGGAUGCGAGCGUUAUCCGGAUUUAUUGGGUUUAAAGGGUGCGUAGGCGGACUAAUUAGUCAGCGGUGAAAUUUUGCGGCUCAACCGUAAAACUGCCGUUGAAACUGUUAGUCUUGAGUGCGGUAGAGGUAGGCGGAAUGUGUGGUGUAGCGGUGAAAUGCUUAGAUAUAACACAGAACUCCGAUUGCGAAGGCAGGUGGCUGUACCUUAAUCGACGCUGAUGCACGAAAGCAUGGGGAGCAAACAGGAUUAGAAACCCGGGUAGUCC
RNAcentral lists this ribosomal RNA (445 nucleotides) under uncultured bacterium. RNAcentral describes it as "partial 16S ribosomal RNA". It matches the Rfam family "Bacterial small subunit ribosomal RNA", at positions 354 to 796 of the family's 1533-position model. The record is from RNAcentral.